UACGUAGGGUGCGAGCGUUAAUCGGAAUUACUGGGCGUAAAGCGUGCGCAGGCGGUUAUGUAAGGCAGAUGUGAAAUGCCCGGGCUUAACCUGGGAACUGCAUUUGUGACUGCAUGGCUAGAGUGUGUCAGAGGGGGGUAGAAUUCCACGUGUAGCAGUGAAAUGCGUAGAUAUGUGGAGGAACACCGAUGGCGAAGGCAGCCCCCUGGGAUAACACUGACGCUCAUGCACGAAAGCGUGGGGAGCAAACAGG
RNAcentral lists this ribosomal RNA (253 nucleotides) under uncultured bacterium. RNAcentral's name for it is "partial 16S ribosomal RNA". It matches the Rfam family "Bacterial small subunit ribosomal RNA", at positions 524 to 776 of the family's 1533-position model. The record is from RNAcentral.